AUUUGUAAAGUUCUGCAGAUAAUUUAUUGCUUCAAUUCUAAACUGCACAAAAAAAAAUAUUUUUAAAAUAUAGACUACACUCUGAUUACUAGAUAAAAAUGAAUGACAAUAGAGAUCACAAUAGCUACUUCUUCUACAUAUUGAAACUAGAUUACUAUCUACUGGCUAUAGGAACAAUAUUCAUUACAUGGACAAAAUUCUGAGAAAUGUCUGUACAAGUCUUGAAGAACCAUGAACAUUUCAAAGGAAGCUACAGUUUUAAUUUACCUGUUUCUGAGGCCAAUUAUUUGCUAAAGUUAUGUGUAAAAUGAUUAAUCUCAUUUACUUCCUCUCCCCCCCCCCCC
Molecule: non-coding RNA, 344 nt
Organism: Biomphalaria pfeifferi
Lineage: Eukaryota; Metazoa; Mollusca; Gastropoda; Planorbidae
Source: the annotation of a GenBank genome assembly